GCCGCCGUAGCUCAGCCCGGGAGAGCGCCCGGCUGAAGAGUAGAUGCACGCAGUGACCGGGUUGUCCGGGGUUCAAGUCCCCGCGGCGGCA
RNAcentral lists this transfer RNA (91 nucleotides) under Sulfurisphaera ohwakuensis. Its description in RNAcentral is "tRNA-Phe". It matches the Rfam family "tRNA". Rfam says of the family: Transfer RNA (tRNA) molecules are approximately 80 nucleotides in length. Their secondary structure includes four short double-helical elements and three loops (D, anti-codon, and T loops). RNAcentral also lists the same sequence under 1 other name. Lineage: Archaea; Thermoproteati; Thermoproteota; Thermoprotei; Sulfolobales; Sulfolobaceae. The record is from RNAcentral.